This 208-nucleotide microRNA precursor is filed under the name Oryza brachyantha (malo sina). RNAcentral's name for it is "MIR812 microRNA precursor family". It matches the Rfam family "MIR812 microRNA precursor family". Lineage: Eukaryota; Viridiplantae; Streptophyta; Magnoliopsida; Poales; Poaceae. The record is from Rfam by way of RNAcentral.
AUUAAGCUCAUUUUUCAGUUUUUAGAUACAUUGUUUUGACUCUUUGGCUUAUUUGAAAUAUUUCCGUGAUUAAUAAUUUUACUGCUACUGGAUUGUAAAACAUAAAUAGUAUUUUAUGUGUGACUAAUUUUUUUAAGUACUUUACAAAUUUUUUAAAUAAGACGAAUGGUCAAAGUGUUGGACACAUAAAUCGAAAAAUAAAGUUAUU